UUCAAUCAGUAACUUCAAAAUUUCAUAGAAAGCUCCAAUAGCACUACUGGUUUUCCACAAAAGCACUUUGCCUGUAGAACUACAGGAGCAAGUAAAUUUUAGCUGAGAGCUAAGUCUCUAUAAAUGAUAUUAUUAAUAUACUUACAUUCGCACCGGCCCUCGCAGCACCAAACACCGGACAUUCCACGAUGACAUGCGGCACGGAUUCCUGCACAUCCGGAUCGCACCCACACGACGGGCUCUUCUUCCAAUGGAACAUGUUCAGAGAAUCUCCGCGGCGCUAUCCCAAAUAGAUGUCGUCGCUCCGCCUUUACCUUCGAUUUUGCUACCGUCGGUGGAAAAAAUUACAGUUCGCUGGCCCACUUCACCACCGUCCG
Papilio polytes (common Mormon) is the source of this 377-nucleotide long non-coding RNA. RefSeq lists it as uncharacterized. The record is from RefSeq and is a predicted model, not a curated record. Lineage: Eukaryota; Metazoa; Arthropoda; Insecta; Lepidoptera; Papilionidae. The transcript is spliced from 3 exons.